UUUCUUUCUUCCUUCUUUCCCUGCGUUUUGUUCUGUCUUUUUCUUGGCUGGGGUCGAAGAAGAAACAGGGGAAACAAAGAGAUUGAGAGAGAGAGAGGAUCAGCUUGAGUUGCAGAAACCACAAAGAAGACGAACUGCUAAGUGCACGGGAUCGUGGAGACUGAAACCUUGCACUCUGAAGUGUUGACUGAAUUUGCUAUCUCUGGAGGGUUUUCGCCAUGGGACCGCUGAUCCGGCGGUAUAUAAAUAGAACGCCUAGACCGCUGAUCCGGUGGAAUACAAAAAGGGACGUCUAGACCGCUGAUCCGGCAGGAUAUAAAAAGGGACGCCUAGACCGCUGAUCCGGUGGGAUACAAAAAUGAAUGCCUAGGCCGCUGAUCCGGCAGGAUAUAAAAUGGACUCCUAGACUCCUAUUGCCAGAGGAUAAUGGGCAGCCCCCGCUUAUGAGAUAUAGAUAUUGAGAGUUGAGAAUGAUAUGAAUGAGAUGUGCGGGGUAACGGUACCGUCAUAAUUCUGUUGCGAGAAAAUGCAACCCUAUGACUAUAUUGAUUGGUCGUGUUGUAUAUUAUUUGUCUGGUUUGAUUGCUAUAAAUGUGAUGAUUGUUGAGAUUAUUUAAAGUUGUUCUGUGGAAGCUGUGUUGCUUUCUGAAGCUUGAUGUAGUUAGUGUGUGCGUGUUAGGUGGUGCUGAGUUAAUAGUUAAUUCUAAUACUAUUAUAUGGUUAUAAAGAUAAUUGAUUGUUUACGAAUGAAUUUAGUAUGUAUUUGUAUGUAUUGUAUAAUAUGCUGUGUUGGUGAAUUAAAUGACGGACUUGGUUAUGCUAGUAUUAUCUAUAUGAAUAUUUAGUAGUUUAAAAAAAUAUUAUUACUUAAUAUUAAUUCAUUUUACUUUGGAAUAUAGUACUCACUAACAUGCAGUUCACACCCUGCAUAUAUUUUCCAUAUAAGUUUCUAGCUGCACAGAAGAACCAUUUUUGAUAUCGGGGAUCAGCUUGGAGAACUAGGUAGGGACCUUAGUUGUUUGAUAGGUAUUCUUUUUGUAUAGAAUGUAUUUGAAAAUGUUACGACCUAAAACUUUUGUCUAGUUGGUUUAGUGAUGUAGCUCUGCUGGAAUUAUAUUUAUAUAAAUAUAUAUGUGAGAGCUUGUUGGAUUAGUUAUA
Molecule: non-coding RNA, 1158 nt
Organism: Punica granatum (pomegranate)
Lineage: Eukaryota; Viridiplantae; Streptophyta; Magnoliopsida; Myrtales; Lythraceae
Source: RefSeq, a predicted model, not a curated record